AAUUGUGCGCUCUCUCUCAAAUCUCACUCUAUCUACCUGUGCACACUUGGUAGGCAAAUAGAAAAGGAAACUUAGUUUCCAUCUUUUGCUUAUUGCCUUUUUACACACACUAUUGAAUGUCAUGAAUGUAAUUGAAAUAAAUGUAACAACUUUCAACAAUGGAUCUCUUGGUUCUCGCAUCGAUGAAGAACGCAGCGAAUUGCGAUAUGUAAUGUGAAUUGCAGAAUUCAGUGAAUCAUCGAAUCUUUGAACGCAUAUUGCACCCUCUGGGUAUUCCAGAGGGUAUGCCUGUUUGAGUGUCAUUCUUAUCUCAAGGCAAAGGGAGCUUUUUGUUUCCUUUGCAUUUGGAUGUUGAAGGAUUUGCUGGCCCCUCAUGCUAGCUCCUUUUAAAUGCAUUAGCAGGACUUUGCAGGACUAGCUUCAGUUUGAUACAUUUUGGUUAUCUGAGCUGUUGCAAGGAAUUGCAUCAUGGUCUUGCUUCAUAAACUGUCCCACUUUGCGGGACUUGUCUUCUGGACAAAUUAUAUCAAACUUGACCUCAAAUCAGGUAGGACUACCCGCUGAACUUAAGCAUAUCAAUAAGCGGAGGAAAAGAAACUAACAAGGAUUCCCCUAGUAACUGCGAGUGAAGAGGGAAAAGCUCAAAUUUAAAAUCUGGCAGUUCUAUUGGCUGUCCGAGUUGUAAAUUGGAGAAGUGUUAUCCGCGUUGGCCUGUGCAAA
This 720-nucleotide ribosomal RNA is filed under the name uncultured fungus. Its description in RNAcentral is "eukaryotic LSU rRNA". The stretch from base 148 to 302 matches the Rfam family "5.8S ribosomal RNA". The record is from RNAcentral. Lineage: Eukaryota; Fungi.